AGUCACAAUAGGGCAGAAAGAACUCAGCUCAGACUCGCUGGUUGGGAACCUGUGUGGACAAUGGGGUGAUACGGCUGGAAGCCUGGAGAAUAUCAGGCGUGGGGAGAUUCCCCCUGAUGCAUUCUGGUGCUCAGCACUUUAUCCACAGCAGGCCUGCUCUGAACUGUUCCCUCCCAGAGACAGAGACCUCUUGGCAGCUGGGCAUAGUUACUAAUAUUGUCCCCAUUUCACAGGUGUUCAAAGGAUUGACUGCUGACAUGAACAGACACCUCCAAGCCAGGGUGUUCAUCUCAAAGAUGCAGUAACUGAGGCACAACAGAGCUGAGUCAUCCAGGGCACAAGACUUGUUAAUGCUGGUCCUGGUAUCAUCCACAGAGGAGCGGGCUGUCCACAUCUAUGGGGAGCACCAGGCCCAGGCAGUACAGGAGACACUUGCUGGGCCACAAAUCCAUACAGUCAGGAAGCCCCACCUCCCUGCCACAUGCGUACCCCUCCCUGCUCCAACAGCACUCAUUGCUCACUCAUUGCUCAAGGUCCUGCAGGCGAGACUUUCUCCCUCUCAUUUUCCAGAUGAGGAAACUGAGACACAGGAAAACACCCCAACGACUCAAUUUUGCAGCCUGGUGGUAUAGUGCUCAGUGGCAGCCAAGCUACCCCACCAUUCCACUUGCCCAUGAGGUGCCACCUCCAGAACCCCCCUUGCCAUCUUCCUCCAGUUGGGCACAUCCAGCGUCCUGCCCAAAUUCUUCUGGGCAAGCAUGAGUGAAUCAGACGGGUGAGACCAGUGUGGCCUAUUCUCCUGAAGCUGCAUGGAAGGGACUCUUCAUCUCUAAGAUAGAAACAAUUCCACCCACCCAGGAGCUCUGUGAAGACAAGGAGCCAUGCUUGCACCCUGAACUGAACCACAGAGUGGGUCACCCCAGACUGUGAAGACCAGAGGUGAUCAAUCUCAACUCAAUCCAGUUCAAGGAGGCAAUCCAUUGAGCACCUACUGUGUGCUGUCCCAUUAGCCUUGUGCUCCUAUAGCUGGGCCCAGUUGAUUUCAUCUCACCCAUAGGGAAGGGCUUGUCUGGGCUUCUGCCUGCUUGGCCAAUGGGUCUCUGGGGCCACAUGCCCCAGGCCGCGUCCCUGGCACACACCUGUCCACCUGCUGACUGGCCAGGCAGGGAAGCUGCUGUGAGUUGAGCAAGAGAGGCAAUGGGUGUGCCCCUGGGCUGUAACUCCUGGGGACACCCAGCUGUGAUAGUCCUGUGACCUCAUCAGGCUGGAGGCAGCCCGGGAUUACAGCCUCCACUGCCCCUCUCUGUGGCUUGUGGGCAAACUGGUUCUGUCAGAAGUCAUGCAUGUUGCUGGAAGGGAAAGCUGUCCUGCCAGUUGGACAGGGCCCGCCCCCCUCAAGCCCACUAAGGAGGGAAAGUCAGGAGGGUGAGCAUGUUCUCAGGGAUGCAGUGGCUAGCCUGUAAGCCCCUCGACCCAGCCACGGGCCCUUCUGCUUCCUGGCUCCUCAAGCCCACCCCUCAGCCCAAAAAAGCCACAGGAGGGUGUCCAGCUUUCUGGUAAUAAUGAGUCACGUUGACACUGGUCUGAUGGCAGUGUAGGCCCAUCCACUCUGCCAUCCCCAUGGAGUGAGGGACUCAAACAAGCCCUGACAGGCCCCAGGCUGAAGACCCACUCUGCAAAGCUCUCCCUGGGCACCAGCUUCUCUCCUAUCUCUUCUACUUGCCCAGGAAAAGAUGGGAAUCCUGACAGAGGGUGGUACAGCUGGACCAAAGUGUCCUCCAAAGGCCUGCAUAUUGACGGCCUGGCCCCAGCUGAUGGUGCUGUCGGGAGGUGGGUGGGGUAAGAGGUAUCUGGGUGGUUGCAGAUGUGUCCUGGAAGGAGACAGUGGGACCCCACCCUUCUUUUUCCUCUCCUUGUCUCCCUGUCCCAGCUGGAGGUGAGCACCUUUACGCCACCACACACUCCCACCAUAAUAUGCCACCUGUUACAGACCCACAAGCAACAGGGCCAGCUGACCACGGACGGAAAUCCCUGAACUACAAGCCAAAAUGGACCUAGCCUCCUCAUAAGCUGUUUUGAGUGUUUAUUAUGGCUGGUGGGAAGGUGAGAGGGUUUGGGGGCCUGGACCCCACAGGGCUUUGUGCAGGA
This is a long non-coding RNA of Chinchilla lanigera (long-tailed chinchilla), 2148 nucleotides long. RefSeq lists it as uncharacterized. The record is from RefSeq and is a predicted model, not a curated record. Lineage: Eukaryota; Metazoa; Chordata; Mammalia; Rodentia; Chinchillidae. The transcript has 3 exons.